This 254-nucleotide ribosomal RNA is filed under the name uncultured bacterium. RNAcentral's name for it is "partial 16S ribosomal RNA". It matches the Rfam family "Bacterial small subunit ribosomal RNA", at positions 524 to 776 of the family's 1533-position model. The record is from RNAcentral.
UACGAGGGGUGCGAGCGUUAUUCGGAAUUAUUGGGCGUAAAGGGUGCGUAGGCGGCAUGUUAAGUCAGUUGUUAAAUUUCCCGGCCUAACCGGGAGUAUGCAGCAGAUACUGAUGUGCUAGAGGAUGGAAGAGAGAAGUGGAAUUCUCGGAGUAGCGGUAAAAUGCGUAGAUCUCGAGAGGAACACCGAUGGCGAAGGCAGCUUCUUGGUCCAUAUCUGACGCUGAGUGCACGAAAGCGUGGGGAGCAAACAGG